Molecule: long non-coding RNA, 1589 nt
Filed under: Phoenix dactylifera (date palm)
Lineage: Eukaryota; Viridiplantae; Streptophyta; Magnoliopsida; Arecales; Arecaceae
Description: long non-coding RNA (PDAC_LNC000618)
Source: RNAcentral
UUUAUUAUGUUUGAUGUGUUAUACAAAAGCUUGUGAAUCAUUUCUAUAAUAUCUACAUUACAUGGCAAUGGAAGUCUUGCCUCCAAUUGGUUCUGUGCAGUUGGACUUGCUUUUCUCCCAGGGAAGCUGAUUUCUAAGCAUUCCUGCCUCCCUUUCCCAGAUUUGAUGCACUUUUUGAUCAUCCUCAUCCUACUUUAUGGAGAUGUUCACUGUUAUUGAUUCCUACUACUACAUCCUAUCUUAGUUGAGGGUUGUUUCCUGCUUCUCUACUGAUCAACCUGUAUCACCUCUUGAUCAACCUGUAAAUUAAACCUCCUUCUUACUGGUUCUGAAACUGAAUUUUCCUGACAGACAACAUAUAUUGUCAUUUAGAUGCGGAUGUUACAACCAUGUCUUAGCAAUUUAAAAUCGUACUACAUCUUAAUUUGACAUUGCAUAUUAAUCAAAAAGAAAAAAAACUAAUGCUACGACGCAUCAAAUUUGCAUCUGGCACGAUGUCAUAUGAUCAAUUCAUGAAACUUUGUAAAGAUCACAAACUUACCUCCUCUAUACAUCUAAACAGCAGAUACAAAAUUAUAUCACAAAGAUUGAACCAGGUGGUUCAUAGUUGUAUGCUCGUGUUCAUCGGAAUGAUAGUAUAGAAACUCUCGAAGCAACCUAGGAAUAGAAUCCUAUAAACUCUCGACGCAGCUAAAAGGAAAAAGUCUCCAUGAAAUCAACCAAAACCAUUAACUGCUAAAUUUCUGCAGGCUAUAACCAAAAACUAUCUAGCAUGCAUAUUAUGCUUUGGCUGCAAAAUCUGUAACCUUAUUGAGCACUUGAUCAAACCCAUAAAAAAGCAGCAGCCAAUUAAAAAGUAAAUGCUGAACAUAUCACCAAUGAGAUGAACAAGAGAUGGACUGCCAAAAAUAGCACAAGUCAAAUCAAAUAUAGUCAUAAUACUUACAUGGAUAAGAAUUUAAAUUCUAUCAAAUUAAAUCACAAACACUAAGAUCAGUCUAUGGUCGGCUCCAAAUAGAUCUAUGCUAAAAUCCUUAAAACUUGUAGCAUCUGUAGUUGUCGAGUUCAUUUUCUUAGACCCGUCUAUCAGACGGGGAGCCAGGUUAUAGGUUGUUUAUUGCAAAGUGAAUAGGAUCUAAUUUACACUCAAAGAUAUCUUCUCAAAGUCUAACUUGGGAGAUAGAGGUUUUCAAAAACAAAGAUAUUGGCUAAGUAGGUAGGCUACUAUGUUUUGGCUAACCAAGGUCUUGAUUUUUUUUUAAAGUUUUAGAUGGAAGAUGAGAAAAUUUGAAAAGAUUUUAAAUUUUUGAAAUUUCAAGGAUAUCAAACUUUCAGCUGAUUAAAAAAAACCCAAAAAAAUAUGGACAUUAAUUGAUUUAUAUUAUUCAAGGUAAUAAAGGUUGAGAUUUUCUCUGGCUCCAUAACAAACCAAGAUCUCAGACAGAAAGCCAGACGGAUGCAACAGUGAAAAGUGGCGACAUUUAUACGUUCUCUAGAUGGGAUCACAUCCGUCCAUUUUUUUUUGGAAUAUUGUGAGGACACACGUACCUGAUUGACGGCAGAUCUUUAGGAUGCCCUCGCUAUUUGUC